RNAcentral lists this long non-coding RNA (348 nucleotides) under Ananas comosus (pineapple). RNAcentral's name for it is "long non-coding RNA (ACOM_LNC001355)". Lineage: Eukaryota; Viridiplantae; Streptophyta; Magnoliopsida; Poales; Bromeliaceae. The record is from RNAcentral.
UUGAGUUAAAAACACAAAGAAAAUUAUAAAGGAAGAUACCUCGAAUAUUUAGUUUUGUUAUACAAAAUGUUAACCCAAAAAAAUUUGCAAGAAUGGAAAGUUUAAUCAAAAGAAUAAAAUUUUUUCAAACAUGACGAUCUCUGCACACAUGUGAAUUAAAAGGAAGCAGCAAUUGUGGAUAACAAAACAUGAACAAUAGCGACCUUAAAUCAUGACGAUGAAAUUGAAACAAAAAAAUAAAAAAAUCAAUUCAAAAUCAUUAAAAAUAGAAUAACAAAACUAGCCAGGAUAACUAAACCCCUAAAACGCUAAACCCUAAACCAUAUGCACAUGUUGAUAAAAAGAAAA